RNAcentral lists this ribosomal RNA (491 nucleotides) under uncultured bacterium. Its description in RNAcentral is "partial 16S ribosomal RNA". It matches the Rfam family "Bacterial small subunit ribosomal RNA", at positions 29 to 506 of the family's 1533-position model. The record is from RNAcentral.
AGUGAACGCUGGCGGUAGGCCUAACACAUGCAAGUCGAACGGCAGCACAGUAAGAGCUUGCUCUUACGGGUGGCGAGUGGCGGACGGGUGAGGAAUACAUCGGAAUCUACUUUUUCGUGGGGGAUAACGUAGGGAAACUUACGCUAAUACCGCAUACGACCUACGGGUGAAAGCAGGGGAUCUUCGGACCUUGCGCGAUUGAAUGAGCCGAUGUCGGAUUAGCUAGUUGGCGGGGUAAAGGCCCACCAAGGCGACGAUCCGUAGCUGGUCUGAGAGGAUGAUCAGCCACACUGGAACUGAGACACGGUCCAGACUCCUAUGGGAGGCAGCAGUGGGGAAUAUUGGAAAAUGGGCGCAAGCCUGAUCCAGCCAUACCGCGUGGGUGAAGAAGGCCUUCGGGUUGUAAAGCCCUUUUGUUGGGAAAGAAAAGCAGCAGGUUAAUACCCCGCUGUUCUGACGGUACCCAAAGAAUAAGCACCGGCUAACUUCGU